AUUGAACGCUGGCGGCAGGCUUAACACAUGCAAGUCGAGCGGGGGAAGGUAGCUUGCUACCGGACCUAACGGCGGACGGGUGAGUAAUGCUUAGGAAUCUGCCUAUUAGUGGGGGACAACAUCUCGAAAGGGAUGCUAAUACCGCAUACGUCCUACGGGAGAAAGCAGGGGCUCUUCGGACCUUGCGCUAAUAGAUGAGCCUAAGUCGGAUUAGCUAGUUGGUGGGGUAAAGGCCUACCAAUGUGACGAUCUGUAGCGGGUCUGAGAGGAUGAUCCGCCACACUGGGACUGAGACACGGCCCAGACUCCUACGGGAGGCAGCAGUGGGGAAUAUUGGACAAUGGGGGGAACCCUGAUCCAGCCAUGCCGCGUGUGUGAAGAAGGCCUUAUGGUUGUAAACCACUGUCAGUGGGGAGCAAAUGCAUCAGGGUUCUCCCUGGUGUUUGAGCGAUCCGCAGAGGAAGCACAGGCUAAUUCCGUGCCAGCAGCCGCAGUAA
Molecule: ribosomal RNA, 497 nt
Filed under: uncultured bacterium
Lineage: Bacteria
Description: partial 16S ribosomal RNA
Rfam family: Bacterial small subunit ribosomal RNA
Source: RNAcentral